GACGAACGCUGGCGGCGUGCUUAACACAUGCAAGUCGAACGGAAAGGCCCUGCUUUUGUGGGGUGCUCGAGUGGCGAACGGGUGAGUAACACGUGAGUAACCUGCCCUUGACUUUGGGAUAACUUCAGGAAACUGGGGCUAAUACCGGAUAGGAGCUCCUGCUGCAUGGUGGGGGUUGGAAAGUUUCGGCGGUUGGGGAUGGACUUGCGGCUUAUCAGCUUGUUGGUGGGGUAGUGGCUUACCAAGGCUUUGACGGGUAGCCGGCCUGGGAGGGUGACCGGCCACUUUGGCACUGGGGAGGGCCCAGGCCCCACUCCGGGGCGACGGUGGGGAGAUGUAUCCAGACGGGCGGAGGCCGGUCUGAACACCCCCGGGUGGGGAAGAGCCGCAUUCGGGUUGGAAGCCCCUUUCGCUUAUACCGGACGGUGAUGACGGUAAAGGGAGAAAAAGCACCGGCUAACUUAGUG
Molecule: ribosomal RNA, 467 nt
Filed under: uncultured bacterium
Lineage: Bacteria
Description: partial 16S ribosomal RNA
Rfam family: Bacterial small subunit ribosomal RNA
Source: RNAcentral